GACGAGGGAUCCUAGCGUUGUUCGGCAUUAUUGGGCGUACAGCGGGUGUAGGUGGACUUAUAAGUCAGGUGUGAAAUCCCAGGGCUCAACCCUGGAAGUGCACUUGAUACUGCAAGUCUUGAGUGUGGUAGAGGCUAUUAGAAUUCUUGGUGUAGUGGUGAAAUACGUAGAUAUCAAGAGGAAUACCGGAGGCGAAGGCGGAUAGCUGGGCCAACACUGACACUGAGACCCGAAAGCGUGGGGAUCAAACAGG
RNAcentral lists this ribosomal RNA (253 nucleotides) under uncultured bacterium. Its description in RNAcentral is "partial 16S ribosomal RNA". It matches the Rfam family "Bacterial small subunit ribosomal RNA", at positions 524 to 776 of the family's 1533-position model. The record is from RNAcentral.